Molecule: long non-coding RNA, 278 nt
Organism: Haliotis rubra (blacklip abalone)
Lineage: Eukaryota; Metazoa; Mollusca; Gastropoda; Lepetellida; Haliotidae
Exons: 3
Source: RefSeq, a predicted model, not a curated record
UUUUUAUCAUUUAUGUGUUUGUCUAUAACUAUGUAUGUAUGUUUUGAAGUGUUCAUGGGUAUGGCGUGGUAUUUAUAUUUGUAUAUUUAUUUGUAUUUAGAUGCAGUUGAUAUAAUCAACUGGUGCAGUCAGUCCGCGCCCCAGUACUAACCACAGGGGCGUUUGUUCUGACUUAUACUCCUCCAAUAAAUCCUUGAAACUCAAACCCGACCCGUGUGUCAUGAUUGAACACCCCCGGUUACAAAUGGAGCCCCCAGUGAGGAUUUUGCAGUGAGUGA